GCGAGACCUUCGGGUCUAGCGGCGGACGGGUUAGUAACGCGUGGGAACGUGCCCUUCUCUGCGGAAUAGCCACUGGAAACGGUGAGUAAUACCGCAUACGCCCUUCGGGGGAAAGAUUUAUCGGAGAAGGAUCGGCCCGCGUUAGAUUAGAUAGUUGGUGGGGUAAUGGCCUACCAAGUCUACGAUCUAUAGCUGGUUUUAGAGGAUGAUCAGCAACACUGGGACUGAGACACGGCCCAGACUCCUACGGGAGGCAGCAGUGGGGAAUCUUAAACAAUGGGCGCAAGCCUGAUCUAGCCAUGCCGCGUGUGUGAUGAAGGUCUUAGGAUCGUAAAGCACUUUCGCCAGGGAUGAUAAUGACAGUACCUGGUAAAGAAACCCCGGCUACUCCGUGCCAGCAGCCGCGGUAAUACGGAGGGGGUUAGCGUUGUUCGGAAUUACUGGCGUAAGCGUACGUAGGCGGAUCAGAAAGUAAGGGGUGAAUCCAGGCUCAACC
RNAcentral lists this ribosomal RNA (496 nucleotides) under uncultured bacterium. Its description in RNAcentral is "bacterial SSU rRNA". It matches the Rfam family "Bacterial small subunit ribosomal RNA", at positions 66 to 614 of the family's 1533-position model. The record is from RNAcentral.